RNAcentral lists this ribosomal RNA (584 nucleotides) under uncultured bacterium. RNAcentral's name for it is "partial 16S ribosomal RNA". It matches the Rfam family "Bacterial small subunit ribosomal RNA", at positions 355 to 1375 of the family's 1533-position model. The record is from RNAcentral.
UGGGGAAUUUUGGACAAUGGGCGAAAGCCUGAUCCAGCAAUGCCGCGUGUGUGAAGAAGGCCUUCGGGUUGUAAAGCACUUUUGUCCGGAAAGAAAUCCUUGGCUCUAAUACAGUCGGGGGAUGACGGUACCGGAAGAAUAAGCACCGGCUAACUACGUGCCAGCAGCCGCGGUAAUACGUAGGGUGCAAGCGUUAAUCGGAAUUACUGGGCGUAAAGCGUGCGCAGGCGGUUUGCUAAGACCGACGUGAAAUCCCCGGGCUCAACCUGGGAACUGCAUUGGUGACUGGCAGGCUAGAGUAUGGCAGAGGGGGGUAGAAUUCCACGUGUAGCAGUGAAAUGCGUAGAGAUGUGGAGGAAUACCGAUGGCGAAGGCAGCCCCCUGGGCCAAUACUGACGCUCAUGCACGAAAGCGUGGGGAGCAAACAGGAUUAGAUACCCUGGUAGUCCACGCCCUAAACGAUGUCAACUAGUUGUUGGGGAUUCAUUUCCUUAGUAACGUAGCUAACGCGUGAAGUUGACCGCCUGGGGAGUACGGUCGCAAGAUUAAAACUCAAUGAAUUGACGGGGUCAUAGCUGUUUCCU